This 22-nucleotide microRNA is filed under the name Homo sapiens (human). RNAcentral's name for it is "hsa-miR-374c-3p". Its record names the gene hsa-miR-374c-3p. The record is from miRBase by way of RNAcentral. Lineage: Eukaryota; Metazoa; Chordata; Mammalia; Primates; Hominidae.
CACUUAGCAGGUUGUAUUAUAU